Long non-coding RNA from Lolium rigidum, 1824 nucleotides. RefSeq lists it as uncharacterized. The record is from RefSeq and is a predicted model, not a curated record. Lineage: Eukaryota; Viridiplantae; Streptophyta; Magnoliopsida; Poales; Poaceae. The transcript has 3 exons.
UGGAGAUCUGCUUAUUCUGGGAUUGAUCUAAAGACAUGUUUACAUUUGCUUGGUUCUGGUUUUGGAAUUGUGCAUGAUGCGCUGGACAAAAUGGAUUAGUUUGGUUACUCUUCUGGUUGUUUCAAGACUGUUAUGUAGCAUAGUGUCUCCUGUCAAUGCAUAUUAGUUGAUGUUUUAAAUCCAUGAUCAGACUUCCAAUAAUGCAACCUCGAUAAUCUCCUAUCUUACUAUGGAUACAUGAGCAAAUGCUGGUAGAUUGUAGUUUAUGAUAAGAACUGUGUUAACUUGCAUGGUCUGUUUGGGAGGCAGUCUGGCACCACCGCUGGUUACUCCUACCAUGCAGCAAACAAGAACAAGGCUGUGGACUGGGAGGAGAGCACUCCUAUUGACUACUUGCUUAACCCUAAUUAAGAGGUUAUGUUUAGUGAUCACUUAGUUCAUUAAGAAGUUACAUUUGCUGUGAUGUUUUACUAUGGAAUGCUUGCGAUACGAACUUCUGUUAUCCACUCUGUGAUCUCAUAUGUUGGGAUGUACUCCUGUGUGAGGGUGACGUUAGGAAGUAUUCUCUAACUGUGAUCUGUAUUCUUGUUUGAUGAUGACAAUUAUUCUUGAGCUGUGAUUUAUACUUGCUUUAAAAACUGCAUAGAAGCUCAGGGAACCGUGUGAGUUAGUACAUUGUGGUGUUAAUAUUUGUUUGACUGCCCAGUUGAGCCUCUGGUACCUUCGAGAAUUGUAUUACGUAUGAUAGUCUGUGUUACUACUGUAUGCAUGUUGUGGGGUUUGAUAUGAGACAAUAUUAUGUCGUUUGCUAAGUAAUUGGAAGAAGUUAAGAGUAGCUAUCAACAGAUUACAUAUGUUAUUGGUGUCUAUUUAAACUGUGUUAAUAUUUUGGUUACUAUCAUACUCCACUAUCCGAACAACACCUCACAGUUGGUAUUUGUUAGUUAUGUCCAGGCAAUUCCAAUACAAAUCUGAAGCUAGUCCUGAUAUAUUAUCUGAUAUCCUUCAAUCCACGUCGGGAUUGUUGGUUAUAUAUUUUCCUCGGUGAUAAUUUGUAUGCUGUACUAGUGUUCUCUAUGUAGACGGCAGUUUCUGACCUAUUCAGAGCUUUCAAGUUUGUUUACGUUUUGUAUGUAGUCCUUUACUCAUUCUGGCUGCUGCCCCCUUAAAGUGGUUUUGCCUUCUGUAAUUAGCAUAGAUCUUCUAGCAUGUCCUUCACGUUGCCCUUCUAUUAAAUGAUAUCUUCUUUAACACAAACCUUGUUAGUUCCCAUGCAGUACAUUCCUGGAACCAAGAUAGUCUUCCCUGGCCUGAAGAAGCUACAUGACCGUGCUGAUCUCAUUGCGUUCCUGAAGCUAGCCACCUCCUCUUAAAAGGACUUGCUGCUAUAAUCCUGUCGUGAUGAGAGAAUUUAUUUUACAGUUAAUAAAAUGAUUAGACAUUAAUAGCCACUGUUUUUUAACAGGGUGCAGUCCACGAGAUAUUUAAUUCUGUAUGCAUUGGGUAGCAGCUUGAGCUUAAAAGGUGAGGAUGGAAGUUUGCAUUGUGUUCUAGCGUAAGAGGGGGAGGACAAAAUAUGGAAGACUUCUACGACAUUAAAUCAUCUAAAAUAGAUGUUAAACAGGUGAAUCCUAUAAGGAGACUGGCACAGAUUUCUCGGCUGCUGAAAUCACUAUUUGCAGAGAGGAUGGAUCAACUGCGUCAACAGCAAUUUUGGUUGGCAACCAUCUCUAUGUGGCAAAUGUUGUUGAUUCACGGGCUGUAAUAUCAAAGGCAGGCAAAGGUGUGGUUUUUCAUAACUUUUAUCACUGUUAGUGUUAUAUA